CCUACGGGCGGCUGCAGUGGGGAAUAUUGCACAAUGGGCGCAAGCCUGAUGCAGCCAUGCCGCGUGUGUGAAGAAGGCCUUCGGGUUGUAAAGCACUUUCAGCGGGGAGGAAGGCGGUGAGGUUAAUAACCUCAUCGAUUGACGUUACCCGCAGAAGAAGCACCGGCUAACUCCGUGCCAGCAGCCGCGGUAAUACGGAGGGUGCAAGCGUUAAUCGGAAUUACUGGGCGUAAAGCGCACGCAGGCGGUCUGUCAAGUCGGAUGUGAAAUCCCCGGGCUCAACCUGGGAACUGCAUUCGAAACUGGCAGGCUAGAGUCUUGUAGAGGGGUGUAGAAUUCCAGGUGUAGCGGUGAAAUGCGUAGAGAUCUGGAGGAAUACCGGUGGCGAAGGCGGCCCCCUGGACAAAGACUGACGCUCAGGUGCGAAAGCGUGGGGAGCAAACAGGAUUAGAUACCCUAGUAGUC
Molecule: ribosomal RNA, 465 nt
Filed under: uncultured Klebsiella sp.
Lineage: Bacteria; Pseudomonadati; Pseudomonadota; Gammaproteobacteria; Enterobacterales; Enterobacteriaceae
Description: bacterial SSU rRNA
Rfam family: Bacterial small subunit ribosomal RNA
Source: RNAcentral